CCCUUAGAUGUCCUGGGCUGCACGCGCGCUACACUGGAAGUUACGGAUUGAGAUACUACCUUGUCCGAAAUGGUCCGGGUAAUCACCUAAAAGCUUGUCAUAAUUGGAAUGGAUUAUUGUAACUAGUAAUCCUGAACGAGGAAUUCCUAGUAAGUCCCAGUCAACAGCUGGUACUGAUUACGUCCCUGCCCUUUGUACACACCGCCCGCCGCUACUACUGAUUGGACGUUUAAGCAAGAUUUUUAAACACUGACAGUGUGUAGUUCACGCUAUACUACAGUGAGAAGAAGAAGAUCGAGCUUACUUGUCUAGAGGAAGUAAAAGUCGUAACA
This 332-nucleotide ribosomal RNA is filed under the name uncultured eukaryote. Its description in RNAcentral is "partial 18S ribosomal RNA". It matches the Rfam family "Eukaryotic small subunit ribosomal RNA", at positions 1470 to 1796 of the family's 1831-position model. The record is from RNAcentral.